This 497-nucleotide ribosomal RNA is filed under the name uncultured bacterium. RNAcentral describes it as "partial 16S ribosomal RNA". It matches the Rfam family "Bacterial small subunit ribosomal RNA", at positions 28 to 507 of the family's 1533-position model. The record is from RNAcentral.
GAUGAACGCUGGCGGCGUGCCUAAUACAUGCAAGUCGAGCGAACGGACGCGACGCUUGCUUCUUUGAUGUUAGCCGAGGACGGGAGUGUAACGUGUGGAUACCCUACUUAUCAGACUGGGAUCACUUCGGGAAUCCGGCGCUAAUACCGGAUAAUCUUUUGAACCGCAUGGUUCAAUAGUGAAUGACGGCCUUGCUGUCUCUUCUCGCUGGUUCCGCGCUGCAUUAGCUAGUUGGUACGGUCAAGGCUUAUCAAGGCAACGAUGCCUAGCCGACUUGAGAGAGGGAUCGGCCACACGAGAGGGUGGACGCGGUCAAGACGCCUACGGGAGGCAGCAGUAGGGAAUCUUCCGCAAUGGGCGAAAGCCUGACGGAGCAACGCCACGUGAGUGAUGAAGGUCUUCGGAUCGUAAUACUCUGUUAUUAGGGAAGAACAGAUGUGGAAGUAACUGUGCACAGCUUGACGGUACCUAAUCAGAAAGCCACGGCUAACUACGUG